This 497-nucleotide ribosomal RNA is filed under the name uncultured bacterium. RNAcentral describes it as "partial 16S ribosomal RNA". It matches the Rfam family "Bacterial small subunit ribosomal RNA", at positions 28 to 507 of the family's 1533-position model. The record is from RNAcentral.
GACGAACGCUGGCGGCGUGCCUAAUACAUGCAAGUUGAGCGCUGAAGGUUGGUACUUGUACCAACUGGAUGAGCAGCGAACGGGUGAGUAACGCGUGGGGAAUCUGCCUUUGAGCGGGGGACAACAUUUGGAAACGAAUGCUAAUACCGCAUAAAAACUUUAAACACAAGUUUUAAGUUUGAAAGAUGCAAUUGCAUCACUCAAAGAUGAUCCCGCGUUGUAUUAGCUAGUUGGUGAGGUAAAGGCUCACCAAGGCGAUGAUACAUAGCCGACCUGAGAGGGUGAUCGGCCACAUUGGGACUGAGACACGGCCCAAACUCCUUCGGGAGGCAGCAGUAGGGAAUCUUCGGCAAUGGACGAAAGUCUGACCGAGCAACGCCGCGUGAGUGAAGAAGGUUGUCGGAUCGUAAAACUCUGUUGGUAGAGAAGAACGUUGGUGAGAGUGGAAAGCUCAUCAAGUGACGGUAACUACCCAGAAAGGGACGGCUAACUACGUG